Transfer RNA from Toxocara canis (dog roundworm), 71 nucleotides. It matches the Rfam family "tRNA". From Rfam's summary of the family: Transfer RNA (tRNA) molecules are approximately 80 nucleotides in length. Their secondary structure includes four short double-helical elements and three loops (D, anti-codon, and T loops). Lineage: Eukaryota; Metazoa; Nematoda; Chromadorea; Rhabditida; Toxocaridae. The record is from Rfam.
CGGGCAGUAGCUCAGUGGUGGAGCUUCCGCUUUAUAUGCGGAAAAACCUGGUUCGAUUCCCGGCUGCUUCC